This 226-nucleotide unclassified non-coding RNA is filed under the name Hevea brasiliensis (rubber tree). The record is from RNAcentral. Lineage: Eukaryota; Viridiplantae; Streptophyta; Magnoliopsida; Malpighiales; Euphorbiaceae.
CCGCCCCAAACCUACGAGCUGCACUGCCUGAACUCACUGAUGAUCUGCUUCAGGAGAUGACUAAACCACCCCUGAGGUCCUACGACCCUAACUUGAUCCAAGAACCAACUGUUUACAGGUUGAAUGAAGCAGUUAUGCAUUUUGGUGAAAGCAUAAAGGAAAUUAUCAAUGAGGAGUUUGGUGAUGGCAUCAUGUCGGCCAUAGAUUUCUACUGCUCUGUUGAUAA